Molecule: long non-coding RNA, 991 nt
Filed under: Homo sapiens (human)
Lineage: Eukaryota; Metazoa; Chordata; Mammalia; Primates; Hominidae
Description: HSALNT0011258
Source: RNAcentral
GACAACUUCUCAGGCUACUAUAAGGAGGAUACGUUAUACCAAGUCAAAAGAGAAAGCAGGUAGAUUGGUUAGGAGGCUAUUGCAGUAGCCCAAGGAUGAGGCAAUUGAGCCUUGGACUAGAGCCAUAUCAAUGGAAAUGGUGAAAAGUAGAGAGAUUUGGGGUGUAUGUACUACCCAGCAAAGGAGACACUUAGAAGUGACGUAGGAUGAAAAACAGAAUAGUGGGGGUUUUGUUUAUUUUUUUUAAAUAGAGAUGGGGUCUCUCUAUGUUGCCCAGGCUGGUCUCAAACCCCUAGGCUCAAGUUAUCCUCCCGCCUCAGCCUAUGAAGUGCUGGGAUUACAGGAAUAAAUCACUGUGCCCAGCCAUAGGAUAGUGUUUUAAGAAAGAAAGAAGGGUCAACUAAGUUUAAUGAUGCUGAGAGAUAAAGUUAGAUGAGCACAAACAAAAAUGUGGCCACAGGAUUUGCACAAUAAAGAUUGUUGUUAGCUUCAUUAUGGAAGCAUUUCAAUUGUUUGGAAUGGAGGACAAAUUCCUGAAAAGGAUAUGUUGAGGAGUGAAUAGGAGGUGAAGGUGUGAAGACAGACACUAUUAAAAAUGCUUAAAAGAAGUUUGAAGGGAAGUAAAUUAAUGAUGCCUGAAAGUGGCUGUAGGGUCACAGAAAUUGUUUUGUUAUGCUUAGCAUAUUUGUUUUUAGGAUGACAGACGCUAAAGUAUAUCUGUGUGCUAAUGAAAAUAAUGUAAAAAUGAGGGUGAAUUGUUGAAUAGUCAAAGAUAAAAAUGACAGAAGCAAAUUCCUUCAGAUGAUCACAGGGUACGUGAGGUGGAGUCCAUGAGUGGAGUCUUUUAAAGGACAUAGGAUACCUCUCUUAGUAGUGGAAGAGAAGACAGAGGGUGAAAGUGCAGACAAUGUGAUGCCACCUAGGCAUAAACCCUAAGGAAUUCUAAUUGUGAAUUUGAAAACAAAACAGAUCAUAUCACUGGGAGGGACCU